This 446-nucleotide RNase P RNA is filed under the name Candidatus Omnitrophota bacterium. Its description in RNAcentral is "RNase P RNA component class A". It matches the Rfam family "Bacterial RNase P class A". Rfam says of the family: Ribonuclease P (RNase P) is a ubiquitous endoribonuclease, found in archaea, bacteria and eukarya as well as chloroplasts and mitochondria. The record is from RNAcentral. Lineage: Bacteria; Pseudomonadati; Candidatus Omnitrophota.
UUAGCAGACCGGAUGGUCGCUUCGCCGGUUUUAUGGCGGGGAGGAAAGUCCGAGCUCCGAGGAGCAGCGUAACGGUUAACGGCCGUCCGCCGAGAGGCGAGGAUUAAGAGCCACAGAGACGAGUCUGCUUCGCCCGUCAACCGGCUAUAGCCGGUAGGGCUUCGCAGGACCAAGGUCCCGUAUAAGGGGCCUGCCCCUACGAAGCCAUACCCGAAUUUAACUGGUUGAUUGGCGAAGUAGGGUGAAACGGGGUAAUCUCUACGCGGAGCAAGAUCAAAUAGGUCCCGAUUUAAGGGUUGCUCGCCCUUACUGUACAUGCAUCAGUAUCGGGACGGGUAAGGUCGCUAGAUCGCCGGAGCAAUCCGGCGGCCAGAUAGAUGACCAUCUCGUCUCGCGUCGAAAGAUGCGGGGCAAGACAAAACUCGGCUUACAGGUCUACUAAACUA